This 491-nucleotide ribosomal RNA is filed under the name uncultured bacterium. RNAcentral describes it as "bacterial SSU rRNA". It matches the Rfam family "Bacterial small subunit ribosomal RNA", at positions 30 to 513 of the family's 1533-position model. The record is from RNAcentral.
AUUGAACGCUGGCGGCAUGCUUUACACAUGCAAGUCGAACGGCAGCACGGGUGCUUGCACCUGGUGGCGAGUGGCGAACGGGUGAGUAAUAUAUCGGAACGUACCUUAUUGUGGGGGAUAACGCAGCGAAAGCUGUGCUAAUACCGCAUAAUCCCUUAGGGGGAAAGCGGGGGACCGUAAGGCCUCGCGCUAUUGGAGCGGCCGAUAUCAGAUUAGGUAGUUGGUGGGGUAAAGGCCUACCAAGCCGACGAUCUGUAGCUGGUCUGAGAGGACGACCAGCCACACUGGGACUGAGACACGGCCCAGACUCCUACGGGAGGCAGCAGUGGGGAAUUUUGGACAAUGGACGCAAGUCUGAUCCAGCAAUGCCGCGUGCAGGACGAAGGCCUUCGGGUUGUAAACUGCUUUGUACAGAACGAAAAGGCGUACUGGUUAAUACCUGGGCUCAUGACGGUACUGUAAGAAUAAGCACGGCUAACUACGUGCCAGCA